GUUCACCGGCAUGCGCUCCAACUAAGUGCACCACACCUCCCUCUCUCCCUUAUCCCCUCUCAUCACGUUCUCUCUCCCUCCCCUUCCUCCCUCGACUCCGAUCCAGAUCCAGGGCCAUGGUGCCCCCUCUUCCCCAUCGCCGCCGGCCACCAUCCCCACACUUUCUCUCCCUUGUCCCUUGGAUCCAUCUCUUCCAUGGCUGCCUCCCACACCGUCUCCUCCUUCCCCCAUCUCAUCCUGUUUUUCUUGUUUGGGAGCGACGAGGGAUUGGCGAGGCUGGAGGCGAGCUCGUGGAAGAGCGGGAGCGGGGCUGGCGAGGGGAGGGCGCGGAAGAAGGAGAGCGUCGCCGCUGGGGUGGGCACGGUGCAGAUGCCGUGGAGCGCGACCAGGGGGUUGUCCGGUGGGGGCGGCGGCGGGAGGAAGGGGAGCGGAGGCGGAGGCGCAGCAAGUCAAUGAGGCACGCACGGCGGAGUUAGGUGGCGACACAGCUGUCGGGUGGGGGCAUCGCGUGGCAGAGGAGCGGCUAUCAGGCGGGGGCAUCGCGUGGCAGAGGAGACGGCAGCGGCGGCGAGACGAGGGACGCCCGAGCUCCUCGGCCCAGCUCAACAGAAGGUUUUACAGCUCGAGUCAUACUCAGAUAUGCCCAUCAGUUCAGCAACAUCACAGAUAGAAAAGCAUAUCUGGUCUGAUGGAAUAGAAGAAAGCACAUGUGAACUCAAGAACAAUACAACACAUUACAUAGUGGGGGAGAACAGCCAGUUUGGGGGAAAUAUACUUGUAGAUCAGUAGAAGAUUUGCAAACUGCAACCAUGGCUCAAGGACUGCAACCCUGGAUCACGAAGAUGCAUGAAAACACACACACAAUUCAGUACAUAAAAUGGUUCCAUGGAUUAAACAUUAAAGCCUCAUUCCCUAACACUGGAAAAUUCAGUAGAAGCUUUGCACAUAGCAGUCAUCGCCGCCAACGAUGUGCAAACCAGAAAAACGGGGAACGUUUGACCUAGGCCAGAAUCUUCAAUCACCGCUCAGUGUGCCACGCGCUGGACAAGCAGGUCAAGAGCAGGGUCCACUUCAAGGAUAUGGAUGACUAUCUGAAGGGAUGCAGGUUUCUUCCCAAACUUAACAACAAGAUACUAGGUGAAAGAAAUGCUCCCUACAAGGAAAGGUUGAGCAGCCUAGAGAAUUUAGUACUGAUCAGGGUACAAGAUAGCGACAGAGUGCUGCAGGAUAAUGAGAUGUUGAAGCAGCGGACUGAAUCCAUGACACCGAAGUGCAAUUGCGGCAGAUUAUCUCUAUCUUUUCUUUUCAUUUUUCUUAUUAUUGAGUGAGAAUAGAAUGAGGAACUGUGUGAUAGUACAUACAACAACUGUAGUAAAAAGAAACUUAUGUUUGCAAUUGUUAAUGACAUAGAUACUUGCAUGUUCUUUGAA
RNA transcript from Triticum aestivum (bread wheat), 1430 nucleotides. RefSeq lists it as uncharacterized. The transcript is spliced from 5 exons. The record is from RefSeq and is a predicted model, not a curated record. Lineage: Eukaryota; Viridiplantae; Streptophyta; Magnoliopsida; Poales; Poaceae.